UAACCAAGGAGUGUGGAGACACUAGUAUGGCAUACAGGUGAGAUGUAAGGGUACAUCUGCACUGAACAUGACCGACUCUGGAGCUAUCUCUGCUGUCAAGAUUUGCUCUGAUGGGAUAUGGGUAUAAAUAUCCCUCCGACCUGAGACUGCCAUGGUGACUUGCAAGCAACUCACUGUACCUAGGCACUGGACUACCUGAAUUUCUAAUUCAGUG
This 214-nucleotide long non-coding RNA is filed under the name Elaeis guineensis (African oil palm). RNAcentral's name for it is "long non-coding RNA (EGUI_LNC060578)". The record is from RNAcentral. Lineage: Eukaryota; Viridiplantae; Streptophyta; Magnoliopsida; Arecales; Arecaceae.